CUAUGUCGUAUCUUACGUGUGCGAGGAACCGAAUGUGUGGGUGGAAGUUCUGGCUCUCGGAAUGUACACCGUUCUCAUGUUAAUCAAUGGUAUUUUGGAGUCGUCGACACUUUGCAUUAUGCCUUUCGCAUUAGCUGGUUUAUUAUUCGCAGACUUGGUGGUCCUUAUCGUAGUCAAACGCUAAGUAAGAAGAUCAAAAUACUAAACCAUACGGAAAAUGGACCUGUUUCUAUUAAACAUUAAGCUAGUUCUCGAAUUGUGCAAUUUUUUGCAA
Long non-coding RNA from Hylaeus volcanicus, 274 nucleotides. RefSeq lists it as uncharacterized. The transcript has 3 exons. The record is from RefSeq and is a predicted model, not a curated record. Lineage: Eukaryota; Metazoa; Arthropoda; Insecta; Hymenoptera; Colletidae.